Long non-coding RNA from Gallus gallus (chicken), 3597 nucleotides. Lineage: Eukaryota; Metazoa; Chordata; Aves; Galliformes; Phasianidae. The record is from Ensembl.
GAGACAUUGAGUCUAGAUCUUUAAUUAAUAGCUGGAGAUCAAUUGCAUAAUGCCUGAGCAAAUAGACACGUGCAUUUAUUAUCUGAAAACAAGAACUCUGCAAUUAGGGUCAUAAAGAAAAUGUCAGAAAACAAGAAGCAACAAAUACCCAUUGUGGAAUUAAUAAGAGCAGUAGUUCCCCUCCAGUGGUCACUGAGUAAGCAAACAUUCUGGUUAAAUAAACUGAAAUGGAGCAUAUCUGGGCAACACACUUACGUGCUGGGUCAAAGCAGAGGUUAAAUAAAAAUUUGUUUUAAAAAGACCCAAAAGAACACAAUAUGACUCCUUACCCCAUGUACCACAUGUUGUUAAAGGAGGGAAGAGGAGCAUUGGGUACAUUCAUGAGCGUGCUGCAGGACUUUGAAGCAGAGCUGUAAGGAAAGCAGGGAGCAUUUGUGUUUACCCCCGGCUCCUAGCAACUUCCCUGCUCACAACUAAUCUUUGGCAUGGAGGAUGUAUUGGCAUUCGGCAGCCAAACACAACUCACUCCUGCCAACACCAUGGUGACGGUCUGACCCUUUCAGAAUACAUCAGCAUUAGGAUUUCAGAAGGGGCACAUUUUCAAGGUCGAUGUUUAUUUCAUGGAAAACUGCUACCUGAGGUUUCUGAGGUGCUGAUUCUUAAUUGGUCAUUACAAUAAAAACACGGAGUAAUUUCAUAUUAGACUGAUGCCUCAGCAUGUAAUCCCAAUCUAGGUCAUUUGAUGACCAAAGGAUUGUUGCAGCUUCAAAUGCAUACUUGCAUAUCUAGUACAGAGUUAGAUGCAUCCAGACACUUCAGAAUGAUUAUUAUUUCUACCUUUCUGUAAAUGACAUAAACCAAUCUCUAGUAGUUUGACUGUGGUUUGGAAGAUUUAUAUCCCUUAUUCUCACAGCUCUGUGGUGAUUAAUACAGCAGGGAUUUUGCGAGGCUAUAGAAAUGGCCCUGUGUAAUCAUGUGAGAAGGAACAAAUACUGACUCCAGGUUUCCCCAGCAGGUAAGAGCAGAAGUUAUUCACCGAGGUGAAAUAAAGGGAGUUUUGUCACUGCAAAAAAAAAAAAAAAAAAAAGACUAAUGUAAGGACAAAGGCCUACUGAGGCCGAAUGGAAUCCAGCCACACUUUGAGGUGUUAACACAAAUGACCAACCCUGAAAGCAGUCAUGCUUUAUGGAGAUUUUCCUGCAUGAUGUACUGACAGAUAUUUUUUGCACAGUUUUACAGACAACCAUUUGAAUCUCCUGUAAGUCCUUCUGCCACAUCUCCUUGCCAUUAUACACAUCUCCAUUUCCAAUAUACCUUACUAAUCCAGUAAUUAACCAUAAAAAUAAAUUACUUGUAUAGAUUAUGUAACAGUAACAAGGCAGCAUGAGUCACUUUUCUUUGUUCUCAUUCACUAGCGAGCAACAGCAUGGGCUCAUUAGGUAGGAACCAGAAGUUCAAUAUGGAGUAAAUUCAGAUCUCAAGGCUAGAUAAUUUGGUCUCCAUUUGUUUGCCUUUGUUCUCUUUUGUUUCCAGAUUAAAAGGACACCAUGUACUUUUAGUUUCUUCAGGUAAAAGAGACAUCUGGGAGCUGCUCCUCUAUUGACUGCUGACAAGCGUUGGCUUAGAGCCUACACAAUAGCUGCACAUUUUGCUUUUGCGUUUAAUUUGGAUGGACAAUUUGAGUAGUCCCAGUAAAAAUAGGAAAUGGAUCUCUCUGACAAGCAGGCAACGAGAAACUGAGUCAGUAAUCCAUUGCCACAAUCAUCCAAAAGCCUUCAUGAGCAAUCAGAGAUAUAUUGUUGAAAAGGCACAACCUCUUGCUCUGUAACCACAAAAUCAGUGUAAUGACUAGGCCCAGAUCCAUAACAAUCUGGUUAGCUUGGGUCUAAUUUGUAACUUCGUAGAAUGGCACAAAUCCUGGAUACCCGUAUCCUAUCUCACAUACAAUCCUGUGCAUACUCACAUAGUAGUAUUUAUACGCACAUUGAUAUGGCUGAACCUUCUACUGAGUGGAAGAAGGAUGAUUUAAUCCCUUGAAAGGCUUCCAAACCUUUGUGUGGGAGUGACUGUCACGUUUAUCGAUGAACACAAGACUGCGGCCUCAGGAAGACCCAGAACCUGAGGAGCUCUAAUGGGGAUUGAUACGCUGAACAUUCCCAGUAAGCCUGGUUGUGAUUUUACUCCAAUUUGUAUUUGUCUACUUUCAGAAGCUGAUAUCUCAAGAGUCACUGAGAAGCAGCCUCUUAAAGACAGCUGCUUUCAAAAUAAAAAUUCCUACCAAUAAGCAAUUACAUUCAGCUUUCAUCAGCCUUAUUGACUUCAAAUAAGUCGAUAUUUGUUUAAAAAAACAAACAGGGAGGUGCUACAGUUUCAAACAAAAUAAGAAUUUGUGUGUAGAGAUAGACCAGUUAGAUGAUUUUCAGAUUAAGCAUCAGGAUCAACUUCAGGUAAAGCUUUCAAAGGUAGCUUUGUACUUACUGAAAACGUGGUCAUCAGUUCUUAGAAAAGUUCAUCGUUAUGGUGGUAGAAAUUCCAUGUAAUUCAUUGAUGCCAUGGGGUUUCCACCACUAGGGGAGUCUAAUUUUCAGAAUUGCUUUAAUAACAACUAUCAAAAUCAGGUCACUUGAAAACAUCAUCAUUUAAUCAUCUGGAAAUUGGAGUGCCCAAAGUCAUUAGUCACACUGAAAAUGCUUGUGUUUCUAGCUGAUUUGGACCUGAGUUUGAUUAUAGAGAUUAGAGUUUGAAUACCUAAACUCCAAAUAUGAGACAUUAUCUGAGAUCAUAGGGGUGUUGUUAACUCUGAUUUCUUUUAUCUUUAUUCCAUCUGUAGUUCCAGCUCUGUAAAAUCACAGUUCUCUGAACCACAAUUACUAUACAUUUUAUGUAAAUGAAAUGGCAUUACAGUGCCAAUUGACUCGAGUCAAACUAACUAGCAAAGAAUUUAAUUAUAUCCAUUAUUAAAUGUUUGUGUUCCACAGAUCCAACUUCUUAAAAAUAACAAUGAUAAAUUUACAGAUUCCUGUAACCAUCUGUUGCACUCUCUCCAAGUCUAGCAGGGGGUGGAAAUCUUGCCGAAUUAAAAAUAUUGCUAUUUAAAGUCUUCCUUGUAUUCAUUUCCUUAGAUAUUUGAACUUAUUCAGUGGCAGAGCCAGCCUUAUGGUUUCUGUAACUUUGCUGGCUGCCGAACUUGGAGUCAUUUUAAACAACUCAGUGGAUUCUGACAGAAUUUAUUUUUUUUAAGCUAUAUCCUUCAACCACAGAUGUAAGUGGAUGAUCUUUUUUUCUUCUUCUUCAUCUUCUCCCUCUCUUUUUUAUUUCUUUUUUCUUUCCCCAAGUCUCAGAAAGCAGAAUUGCAAGGAGCUAAGAGAUGGAAGAGCUGACUUGCCAGUUUCUGGCUUCACUGCAGCCCAGAGUUGUUGCCUGGGUGAUUGUGUUCAUGGGAGGUCUUUAACUGGCAGAGCUGCCUGCUCAGUUUCACAGGCGCCACAACUACUUCAUUAUUUCAUCAAAGUUCAUUAUGUUGGGGAGGGUACCACCAAUAAAAUUAGAUUACAAUGAGCCCUUAAAGACAUAAUUCCUGGUUUUACCUUUUGCCAU